RNAcentral lists this long non-coding RNA (366 nucleotides) under Homo sapiens (human). Its description in RNAcentral is "long non-coding RNA NONHSAT199375.1". The record is from RNAcentral. Lineage: Eukaryota; Metazoa; Chordata; Mammalia; Primates; Hominidae.
AGCAACUGGCGCAGGCGCGCUGCUCGGUCAUAUCAGUCGGGAUUCGAGCCCCGGUGACCAAUCGACCCGGUUUGUUCGGAACUGACAGGGUUGUCAAGACGCUGGGCUUUCCCUGGCAAACCAAGACGACCUGAUCACGUAGUUAGAACCCAGAGAAAGCAUUACUGGGCGUGAGCCGGUCGGGGCUCCGGUAUUUGCCCUUCGCCCAGGUUGCUGUAGAAAUGGACCUCUACCCGCCCAGAUGUUACCAUUCAUCGCGAAGGGUGUCGUGAAGAUGAAUGCCCUGUCGAACAUCAUCCAGCAGGAGGUCAAGGAAUUUUAACUGAAUGAUUGAAUAGUCUUGCAAGAUCUAUGAAACAAGCUUCG